Long non-coding RNA from Marmota monax (woodchuck), 1163 nucleotides. RefSeq lists it as uncharacterized. Lineage: Eukaryota; Metazoa; Chordata; Mammalia; Rodentia; Sciuridae. The record is from RefSeq and is a predicted model, not a curated record. The transcript is spliced from 3 exons.
CCCAGAGAUAAAGGAGGCAAGGUCCAGGGCAGAAUUCAAUGGAAAGGCCACUCCUUCUAUAUGAAGAAACUGAGGCUCAAAGUGGCAAGAAGAGAGUUACUAAUGGAAGUAGACAUAUGUCCCUGCCUUCAAGUCAUUUUCAGCCUAAUCAGAAAGACGAGUUUACUUAUCUUUGGAAGGACAUGCCCUGGACUCCCCCCAAUCAAGAACAGUGCUCAGAUGCUGCCUGCCUGUCCUGUCGGCAUGACCUGUAGUCAUCCCGUGCCCUCAAAAGCUUACUCAGAAUGAGCAAUACGCCCAGAACGAAUUCGUUAAUUAAUAAGGAUGCUGGGAAGUUGUAAACACAGCUGCUGGCUGCUGGCUCUGCUGCCCUGCUUGCAUGUGGCAAGUGAAGAAAUGCUGGAUGGUAACACAGGCUCAUUGUUUGGGGCUCCCAUAAUUGAACUUGACAGAAUAUCCUUGGCAGGGGAGCCAACAGCAACAUGGCAGUCUCUGCAGAGGUGCCCAGAGGCAGGACUCCUUUUUGCUUGGAGUUUCUAUUCUUAAAGCAAACCUGACAAUGAAUCUUGGAGAAGAGUGGAAAGAGAGCAGCAACCUAUUUACAAAACGACACACUUCCCAGUCACUGAUCACUUGCUUGUGGUGAGUUCCUAGAGGACACAAUAACUGACCUUUUCUUUCCAGAUGUCCUUUAGUAGUAUUUACUUAUCCUUUACCCCAAACUGGGCUAUGGCAGUUCCUCUUUCUGGAAGAAACACAUUUGUUUCUCUAGCAGACAGAAUUGCCUGAUGAGAUAGCACCUUAACUUUCCAAAAAUUCAGACUCAAAAAAUAUUUUCAGACUUACUUUUUCACAUGAACUCAAACCUUACUGAUGCUAGUUUAGAGAUGAAUAAGCUGAGGUUCAAAGAGGUUAAGCAACUUGCAUAAAGCCAAAUAAAAAGCAAGUGGCAAGUCUAAAACUUGAGUGGCAUCUUUAGUCUCUGCACCUUGUGCUUUCUCCCCUAUGCCUCACCAGGCCUUCUGGGAGAAGCAAGAACUUUUAAUGAAGUCUCAAUAUUGGCUUAGGGUGUUGGAAUCCCUCAGCAUGCCUGGAACCAAAGCUCAGAAUUGCUGAGCAGCACUUCCUGAAUCAAUAUUUGGACCAACACCCAAAGCUCACUA